Molecule: ribosomal RNA, 1476 nt
Filed under: seawater metagenome
Description: bacterial LSU rRNA
Rfam family: Bacterial large subunit ribosomal RNA
Source: RNAcentral
GGAGUGAAAAGAACAUGAAACCGUAAACUUACAAGCAGUAGAAGGACGACUAAAACGUCUGCCUGCGUGCCUGUUGAAGAAUGAGCCGGCGACUCAUAGGUAGUGGCAGGUUAAGGCAGUGAAUGCUGGAGCCACAGUGAAAGCGAGCCUGAAUAGGGCGUUUGUCACUAGUUAUGGACCCGAACCCGGGUGAUCUAACCAUGGUCAGGUUGAAGCUUAGGUAAUACUAAGUGGAGGACCGAACCGACUGAUGUUGAAAAAUCAGCGGAUGAAUUGUGGUUAGGGGUGAAAUGCCAAUCGAAUUCGGAGCUAGCUGGUUCUCCCCGAAAUGCGUUUUGGCGCAGCGAUAAAUGUUAUAACUUAGGGGUAAAGCACUGUUACGUAUGCGGGCUGGUAAUUCGGUACCAAAUCGUUGCAAACUAAGAAUACUAAGUGUACAGUUUAUCAGUGAGACUGUGGGGGAUAAGCUCCAUUGUCAAGAGGGAAACAGCCCAGAGCACCAGUUAAGGCCCUUAAAUAAUUACUAAGUGAUAAAGGAGGUGGGAGUGCGAAGACAAUCAGGAGGUUUGCUUAGAAGCAGCAAUCCUUUAAAGAGUGCGUAAUAGCUCACUGAUCGAGUAAACCUGCGCCGAAAAUGAACGGGACUAAGUAAUUUGCCGAAACUGUGCGAUAUAUUCAAAAUAUAUCGGUAGGGGAGCGUUCUGUUGUAGAUUGAAGUAUUAGCGUAAGCGGAUAUGGACGAAGCAGAAGUGAGAAUGUCGGCUUGAGUAACGAAAAUAUAGGUGAGAAUCCUAUACCCCGAAAACCCAAGGUUUCCUCCGGAAGGCUCGUCCGCGGAGGGUAAGUCAGGACCUAAGGCGAGGCUGAAAAGCGUAGUCGAUGGACAACGGGUUAAUAUUCCCGUACCAUUAUUUAUUGAUAACGAGGGACGGAGAAGGCUAAGCUGGCCGGAUAUUGGUUACCGGUUUAAACGUUCGAGGUGUUGAGAAACGGAGAAAACGUUUUGAGCUGAGGCGUGAGUACGAGAUGCUACGGCAUUGAAGCAGUGUAUGUCAGACUUCCAAGAAAAGCUCGCAAUGUCAUAAAUAAAUAAUGCCUGUACCAUAACCGACACAGGUGGGUAGGUAGAGUAUACUAAGGGGCGCGAGAUAACUCUCUCUAAGGAACUCGGCAAAAUGACUCCGUAACUUCGGGAGAAGGAGUGCCUUAUUUAUAAGGUUGCAAUAACAAGAUCCAAGCAACUGUUUACCAAAAACACAGGUCUCCGCUAAGUCGUAAGACGAUGUAUGGGGGCUGACGCCUGCCCAGUGCCAGAAGGUUAAAGAAGUUGGUUAGCAUUAGCGAAGCUGAUAACUGAAGCCCUGGUGAACGGCGGCCGUAACUAUAACGGUCCUAAGGUAGCGAAAUUCCUUGUCGGGUAAGUUCCGACCCGCACGAAAGGCGUAAUGAUUUGGAUACUGUCUCGGAGAGGGGCUC